GACGAACGCUGGCGGCGUGCUUAACACAUGCAAGUCGAACGGAAGGGCCCUGCUUUUGUGGGGUGCUCGAGUGGCGAACGGGUGAGUAACACGUGAGUAACCUGCCCUUGACUUUGGGAUAACUUCAGGAAACUGGGGCUAAUACCGGAUAGGAGCUCCUGCUGCAUGGUGGGGGUUGGAAAGUUUCGGCGGUUGGGGAUGGACUCGCGGCUUAUCAGCUUGUUGGUGGGGUAGUGGCUUACCAAGGCUUUGACGGGUAGCCGGCCUGAGAGGGUGACCGGCCACAUUGGGACUGAGAUACGGCCCAGACUCCUACGGGAGGCAGCAGUGGGGAAUAUUGCACAAUGGGCGGAAGCCUGAUGCAGCAACGCCGCGUGCGGGAUGACGGCCUUCGGGUUGUGAACCGCUUUCGCCUGUGACGAAGCGUGAGUGACGGUAAUGGGUAAAGAAGCACCGGCUAACUACGUG
RNAcentral lists this ribosomal RNA (468 nucleotides) under uncultured bacterium. RNAcentral's name for it is "partial 16S ribosomal RNA". It matches the Rfam family "Bacterial small subunit ribosomal RNA", at positions 28 to 507 of the family's 1533-position model. The record is from RNAcentral.